Long non-coding RNA from Symphalangus syndactylus (siamang), 157 nucleotides. RefSeq lists it as uncharacterized. The record is from RefSeq and is a predicted model, not a curated record. Lineage: Eukaryota; Metazoa; Chordata; Mammalia; Primates; Hylobatidae.
GCUAGCUCGUUUUUUGCACCAAAGGAAAGCUAAGGGAACCUCCUAAAAUGCCAUGUACGGGUAGAGAAGAGAUCACGGUUGAUAACAACAAACAAAAAGCUUCCAUGAAAAUCUAUAUAGGCAGACUUCGAAGAUAUUGGAGAUUUGGUUCCAGACC